GUAGAAAGAUUAAAAUGUGCAAGUUCGUCAUUAAGAAGAAUUCUAUUCUCUCCAUCAUUCGCGGAGUUCAUUUCUACAAAUGGAUCCUCUGAUAUGAUGGAAGAAGAUGUUGUGUCAAACCUUGCAGUGCGUAUUAAGCUAAGAUUGACAGUUUGGGAAUUUAUUAUUCCAGUGACUCCAUCACUCCCCGCUGUCAUCGGCGUCUCUGAUACUGUAAUCGAGGAUCGUUUUGGUGUUGAACAUGGAAGUGAAAAGUGGUACGAGAAACUGGAUCUUCAUUUCAAGUGGCUUCUUCAGUAUCGGAUCAGUCCAUACUUCUGCAAAUGGGGUGAAAAUAUGCGUGUCUUGACAUACACCUCACCAUGGCCUGGUAUUGCAAUUGUUAUGCACCAUCUAAUUAUUUUGCUUCAGAUUCUAAUAAGUUCACCAUUUGCAUUCCACUUUUUUUGGUUUCGCAGCCGAUCAUCCCAAGUCUGAUGAAUAUUUCUCUGAUCCAAGGCUUGCGGCUUAUGCAGUACCUUAUAGACAAGUUAUAGCAGGGUAUGCAUGUGCUGUCCCAGUCAAACUUCUUAUAAGUGUUGUAGGUACCCAAACUAUAACUUUUGUUGAUGUGCAAGCAGGGAUGAUUCAAGGGAAAUUUACCUGCGGAAAGAAGUUGAGAUAUUGAGGAGUAAACCCCACUGGAAUAAAGCUUACUUUUACUUGUGGGAUGAGGUAUCUUAGUUCCCACUGAUUUAUCAAUAGGCCGAUGGUGGUGUCUCUUAGCAUUUGUGUAUCUCAUGUUCCACCACAGGUGUAAUUGAUGUGUUCUUUUAGUUGAGGUUUACUUAUUGACAGCUUUCUUAUUACCAUUCGAAAAUUUGGCAGCCACUGAAUAUGGAUCACUUUCAUAACGUUCGCAAGAUGGCUAGUGAAAUUUACGCCUAUGCCCCGGAUGCCCGGGUUUUGACUACUUACUACUGUGGUAUGAUUCCCUUUUUGUUUCUUGAUUUCUCGAUUUUACAUACGUUUUCCCACAUAAUGUGUUUGUUCAACCCAUAAUGUUAGGUCAUUGUGUAGAGCUAAAUAUUAUUUACGCACUCGUCAUGUUGGUCCACUGGUCUCAUUACAGCACUUACGGUUAUUUUACAAUGGUUCAGCUACUCAGAAAUUGUAUUUAUCUAUCUGUAGGUCCGGGUGAUGCGCCUCUUGCACCAACGCCCUUUGAAUCUUUUGUCAAAGUUCCAAAUCUGCUUCGACCCCAUACUCAGAUAUACUGCACAAGGUAAUUGCGCAUGCACCAUUCUCUUAGGUGGCAGUGGUUUGAUCAUUCAGACAAAUUGCCUUCUCUUACAUGGGUUUGUGGCUUAAUUAGUUGUCAAGAUCUUAACCUCACCAAUCUAUCAUUUAAUCAAAAAGUAACCUCUUUUUUUUUGAGCAAAUACAUUUUUGAUCUUAAAAUUGCCAACCGUAUCACUCCGAUUACCUAUUUGGAUAGACAUGCAUGUGAGUUUAUUAUAUUCAUCUAUGAGUUAGGAUUUCAGAUGCGUUUUCAGGAAUAUUUAGAGAAAUCUGUUUACUACUAGUUAGUCCAUCGUUGCCUUAAUCCCGCAACACAGUCUUAAAAUAUGGUUUAAUAUUCAGUGAAUGGGUGCUUGGUAACCGGGAAGAUUUGGUGAAAGAUAUUGUGGAGGGAUUGCAGUUAGAGAAUCGUGAGGUAAGCUCUCUCUGAUCCUUUGUCUACACUAGUCUAUGUUACUCAUUUGUCUAAUCAAUAUUGCGUAACUGAAUAGAAAUCUAAUAACCAUAAUCAUCAUCAUUUUAAGUAUAGAUUUCGGUCAGUUUUUAACCAUACGCAAAACAGUUAAUUAAUUAUUAUCAUAAGCUCCCAAAAGGUGUACACAUGCAUAUGCAUACAUUCAGGCAUUAUCAUAAUCAACUAAGCCAUCUUAAUGCUACUCUUCUUGUGUGGUUUAUAUAUGAAUGUAUUUGCAAUGGGAACCAUAAAGAGGAAUUCUCAUGAUGGGUGCAGGAAUGGUGGACAUACAUAUGCCUUGGACCUACAGAUCCUCACCCAAAUUGGCACUUAGGGAUGCGUGGGACGCAGCACCGUGCAGUGAUGUGGCGUGUGUGGAAAGAAGGUGGAACGGGGUUCUUGUACUGGGGUGCAAACUGCUAUGAGAAGGCAACCGUUCCAAGCGCUGAGGUUCGUCUGACCUAUGGUACCUUUUGUAAAUGUUUCUUGAUUGAUUGCUUCAGGAAGUUAUAUGAAACAACCAAACAUAUUUAUAGGUAAGGUUUAGGCGCGGCCUUCCUCCUGGUGAUGGUGUUCUUUACUACCCGGGUGAAGUUUUCUCAUCAUCCUCAGAGCCAGUUGCUUCACUUAGGCUUGAGCGUCUUCUUAGUGGCUUACAGGUAUGGCUGCUUUAAGCUUUUAGUUACCAACCAGAAAGAAAGAAAGAAGAAUUGUGUUCAAAUUGAUGUAAUGGAACAGGAUUAUGAGUACUUGAAGCUGUACGAGUCAAAAUACGGAAGAGAGGAAGCAAUGGGGCUAUUGGAGAAGACAGGGGUGUACAUGGGGCCUGAGCGAUACACUUUGGAACAUAGACCAAUCGAUGUAUUGCGGGGAGAAGUGUACAACGCAUGUAGACCUUCUUAGAGUAAUGUUAUGAGAACGUUUUUGUAUCUACUACCUAUACAGACGCUUCGUCGAUUACGCCUACUUUAUAAUAUAAUAUAUAGAACAAGAAUAAAGUCUUAGAAAAAUCCAGUUUGUUCACCGCGGUGUAGCGCGGGUGUUGGCCUAGUUACAUACUAAAAUCAGAGUAGUCCAGUUGUUAAGCGAUGAUGAUUAAUAUGGAAACAUGUGUUCGAUUUUACAUUGAUGCGGGUUUUAUUUCCGUUACAAAAAAAACAUUCUAAAACUACAUGUCAGUUGAUAUAGAACAAAAUUUACAAAAGAACUGGAUCAGAGACAAGAUGACUGAAUAAAGAGAAGAUCAACUUCAUUAUCUGAAUCUGAUCCAGAGAUGGAUAAUCCCCUUUAUGUUCUAAUCUUUGGACAAUAAAAGUAAUAUUUAAAUGGUAAGUUAACAAAAAAAUGUUUUUGUGGGUGGAUUACAUGUCAGUUGUUAUAGAACAAAAUUUACAAAAGAACGGGCUCAUAGACAAGUAACUGAAUAAAGAGAAUAUCAACUUCAUUAUCUUAAUCUGAUCUAGAGAUGGAUAAUCGAUCCCUUAAAAGUUUUUUAUUUCCAAACAACCAAAAUAAAAAUAACCUAAAAUAGUAUAAUAAAAAAGACAACUCUAGUGGACCAAAAAAUGCUCUCUUCUCUCAGAUUUUUUAAUUUUUCUGUUCUAAUCUUUGGACAAUAAAAGUAAUAUUAAAAAUGCUAAUUUAACAACAAAAUGUGUUUGUGGGUGGAUUAGAUGGAAAAUAUAAUUAUUUUGUGUAAUCUUUUUUUUUUGUGUAAUCAUUACUGCAAAAAUACUAGAAUAGUGCAAAAGGAAAGGAAGGAGUUGAGAAGAGGGAGGGAGUUAAAGGUACUUUUCGGGCAGAGAGUAAACAAAAGCGGGGACGUUACUUAUUACGUGUUGAAGCUUCAGUAAAUCUCCAACAACGCGAUCCUCUCUUCUCUUCUCCUCAACAAGAAGAAGAAGCGAUUCAAAUGGACAGCAACAAUGGUACGAUUCAAUUCGCUCUUCUUUACUUUACCCCCCAAUCUCGACUUCCUUCGUCUGCGAUUAGAUAAAUUGUUUGAGAAACGAAUUUGGGAAGUCAAUUUUACACAAGUUUCCUUCUAAUUAACUCUUAUCUAAGAAGAAGAUUAAAUAAGUGGAAAUUAGGUUGAAAUUAGCUUUUACAGAUCAAUAAAAUUGUGUAGGGACUCAAGAGAUGAGUGUGCCUGUAGAAGGGGUUGCUGGUGGAGGCACAGCUUACGGGUUUAACGACGGCGGUCUUAAUACACAACCUCUUAAACAAUCUACGGACCCCACAGAGGUUCCUACUUCUGACUUGGUUCACGUCUGGUGUAUCCCCAAUACUCUUAACGUCGGUUCCCAAGAAACGCCUCGACCUCUAGAAACUGUAUAACCCUUCUUCUUUUCAGCUAUUUCUAGUUCACCUUUCGUGUGAAAUGACAUUUGUGAUUUGUGUUUCUACAGAUAAAUCUUUUGGCAGCUAGAAACGAGAGAGAAAGUUUUCAAAUUGCCAUGCGUCCCAAAGUUUCUUGGGCUGGUUCUACCCCUUCUGGGAGUGUUCAGGUUCAGUGCAGUGACUUAUGCUCUUCAGCUGGGGACAGGUGCGUGAGCCUUUGCUACCUUCCCUUUUCUCCGAACAGCGGCUUAAGAAACCGAACGUUUCAAUGGAUAUUUUGAGAUGGAUUCUUCACUUUGCUGUCUAUAUGAUUGUUUUCUUCCUUUCAAUGACAGAUUGGUUGUUGGCCAGUCCCUAAAGUUGCGGCGAGUGGUGCCUGUCUUAGGUGUUCCUGACGCUCUGGUGCCUCUUGAUUUGCCUCUUACUCAACUUAGCUUACUUCCAGGGUACUACCCACUCGCUAAUCUUAUUUCUUACUUAAUUCGUUAAAGACUGAUAUAAUCUCGGAUGUUCCAUAUUGUAGAGAAACAAGUGUGAUUUGGGUCUCAAUAGACGUUCCUAAUGGGCAGCCUCCUGGUCAAUAUGAAGGAGAGAUUACUGUUUCUGCAAUGAAGACGGAUGGAGGGUGAGUCUCCCUUUGUUUUUCUUUUCUUUUAUCUACUUUAGGAGGAAAAUGAUAACUUGUUUCUCAUGGAUUUGACGCGCUUAUGCCCAAAUUUUGUGGUUGGUUACAGCUGUUCUGAUAACUUGGGAAAGCAUGAGAAGGAUCAGCUAUGUGUGGAACUCAAGAACUGUCUGGAUAUUAUGGAACCGAUAGAAGGAAAACCCAUGGACGAAGUGGUAAUUUUCAGUUUGCUUCUGUUUUUGUUGAGCUCAUCCCCUUGGAUAAAUAUUUUACUUGUCAGUAAUCUGCAGCUUGUCUUUUAGGUAGAAAGAAUAAAAUGUGCAAGUUCGUCAUUAAGAAGAAUUCUAUUCUCUCCAUCAUUCGCGGAGUUCAUUUCUACAAAUGGAUCCUCUGAUAUGAUGGAAGAAGAUGUUGUGUCAAACCUUGCAGUGCGUAUUAAGCUAAGAUUGACAGUUUGGGAAUUUAUUAUUCCAGUGACUCCAUCACUCCCCGCUGUCAUCGGCGUCUCUGAUACUGUAAUCGAGGAUCGUUUUGGUGUUGAACAUGG
Molecule: long non-coding RNA, 5247 nt
Filed under: Brassica napus (rape)
Lineage: Eukaryota; Viridiplantae; Streptophyta; Magnoliopsida; Brassicales; Brassicaceae
Description: long non-coding RNA (BNAP_LNC006591)
Source: RNAcentral